This 74-nucleotide transfer RNA is filed under the name Jannaschia seosinensis. It matches the Rfam family "tRNA". From Rfam's summary of the family: Transfer RNA (tRNA) molecules are approximately 80 nucleotides in length. Their secondary structure includes four short double-helical elements and three loops (D, anti-codon, and T loops). The record is from Rfam by way of RNAcentral. Lineage: Bacteria; Pseudomonadati; Pseudomonadota; Alphaproteobacteria; Rhodobacterales; Roseobacteraceae.
GCUCGCAUAGCUCAGCUGGAUAGAGUGUCGCCCUCCGAAGGCGAAGGUCGUAGGUUCGAAUCCUACUGCGAGCA